Molecule: transfer RNA, 54 nt
Filed under: Meloidogyne javanica (root-knot nematode)
Lineage: Eukaryota; Metazoa; Nematoda; Chromadorea; Rhabditida; Meloidogynidae
Also listed under: 3 other names
Description: tRNA-Gly
Source: RNAcentral
AUUAAUUUAUUUUAAUGAGAAUAUUUUUUUUCCAAAUAAAAGGUUUAAUUAAAA